UUGACCUCGAUCAGUAGAAUCCCAGUU
RNAcentral lists this ribosomal RNA (27 nucleotides) under Ilyonectria destructans. Its description in RNAcentral is "partial 28S ribosomal RNA". The record is from RNAcentral. Lineage: Eukaryota; Fungi; Ascomycota; Sordariomycetes; Hypocreales; Nectriaceae.